This 501-nucleotide ribosomal RNA is filed under the name uncultured bacterium. Its description in RNAcentral is "bacterial SSU rRNA". It matches the Rfam family "Bacterial small subunit ribosomal RNA", at positions 351 to 865 of the family's 1533-position model. The record is from RNAcentral.
GCAGUAGGGAAUCUUGCGCAAUGGGCGAAAGCCUGACGCAGCAACGCCGCGUGAGGGACGAAGGCUUUCUGAGUUGUAAACCUCUUUCGACAGGAACGAUUGUGACGGUACCUGUAGAAGAAGCACCGGCCAACUAUGUGCCAGCAGCCGCGGUGAUACAUAGGGUGCAAGCGUUAUUCGGAUUUAUUGGGCGUAAAGAGCUCGUAGGCGGUUCGAUAAGUCGGGUGUUAAACCCCCAGGCUCAACCUGGGGCCGCCACCCGAAACUAUCGUGACUAGAGUUUGGUAGGGGAUCACGGAAUUCCUGGUGUAGCGGUGGAAUGCGCAGAUAUCAGGAGGAACACCAGUAGCGAAGGCGGUGAUCUGGGCCAAUACUGACGCUGAGGAGCGAAAGCGUGGGGAGCGAACAGGAUUAGAUACCCUGGUAGUCCACGCCGUAAACGGUGGGCACUAGGUGUGGGGACUUUUCAACGGUUUCCGCGCCGCAGCUAACGCAUUAAGU